This 465-nucleotide unclassified non-coding RNA is filed under the name Hevea brasiliensis (rubber tree). Lineage: Eukaryota; Viridiplantae; Streptophyta; Magnoliopsida; Malpighiales; Euphorbiaceae. The record is from RNAcentral.
UCCAUCCUAUAGAGCCUUUCUAUCAUCUGUUUUUUCUGUUUCUAUCUUACAGGAUUAGAAGAAAGCAUGUCUUAAUCCAAAAUGGAAAGCAGCCAUGGUGGAGGAGAUGAAAGCUCUGGCAAAGAAUGAGACAUGGGAACUUAUUACUCUUCCACUAGGGAAAAAACUAGUUGGAUGCAAGUGGAUGUUCACUGUGAAACAUAGAGCAGGUAGUGCAAUUGAAAGGUACAAGGCUAGGCUGGUAGCAAAAGGUUUCACACAAAUGUACGGAGUAGAUUACCAAGAGACCUUUGCUCCUGUUGCUAAAAUGAACACCAUCAAAAUUCUGUUGUCAUGUGUAGCGAAUCUUGAGUGGGACUUGCAGCAGUUUGAUGUUAAAAAUGCCUUUUUACAUGGUGACUUGGAAGAAAAAGUGUACAUGGAAAUUCCUCCAGGGUUUGGGGAUGAGAAGACCAGAGGGAAAGU